UUUACUUUCUAUUUAAACUUAUUUAUAUAAACAAGUUUUCUUUCUCUUUUUUUAUACCCUUAGGCUAGUUCAGGGGAUACGAUAAAAGAUCUCCAAAUGUGUCCUGUACCUCCUUUGGGCUGCCACCUGCACUGCUGCCAUCACCAAUGGAGUGUUUUUAAUGAGGGAGGGAAGGUAGCUUAUUCCCCAAAGCAAAGUCUUGUGGGAUUGAUUCCUGUUUACAGGGGUUGUCUCUAAAUGCCAGGUAUUUUCCCCAUUGCUCUGUGAAAUUUGGCUGGGUGAUACUUAUGCUGGUUUCUUCUUUACUUUCUGUGUUACAAUUCUGCAUGUCCUACUUUUACUCAAUUCUUCUCAAUUUUGCAUUUUCUUUGCCCUAGCGACAAAAAAUUAUAUCUCCCUUGAUCCCACUACCACUACUCCAGUUCAAAGUAGAUUGUAGCCUGCCAAAAGAUUCUUCCCCUCAUCCUAUUGAAGUCUUUUUUCAUUAUCCCAUAUUAAUGUGACUGUAGGAGAGCCAACUAAAUAGAAAUCAAGUUCUAGAAACACACAUACCCCAUACAUACAUUUAUAUGAUCUCCAGAGGGUCCUUAAAGAAUGAAUUUUAGAUUGAAAAAUAUUUAGUUGACACAUACCAUCUCUAAACAAACCAACUGAUAUAUUUUUAAUCUGUUUCUAUUUCGUCUUGUAAUUAAUUUGGUGGAAAUACUUAUUUGUUUUAAUAUAAAUACAGGGUAUAUGGCACAUUUAAUAAGAUCAUAUUUCUUAAUUGGCUGGUGCCCAGCUCUAGGUUGAGAAGUGAUUUUCCUCUUCCCCACCUGUAUUUUCUUUGUUUUGUCCACCCUAAUGGAAACAGCACACGGUUAAGCCUUUUUCCAGCUACAACCACAGUGUGCUUGAGCCUGUCCCCUCAAGUGCAUUCAGGAGCACCCAAGGUGAUCCUCACUUACAGCCUGCUUGAGCAGUGUAGCUUUUUGCACACUCUGUCUUCCUGAGGUGACUUCAGUAAGCCAUGCUUGUCCAUCUCUUUUCCUCAUUUUCAUCUGGUGUCAUGGGUAGAAACCUUCAAAUGUAACCACAGAAGCUAAGCUUGGCCUGCUCUGCUCUUCACUAUCCUCCAACAUGGGCAGAACUGCCGCCCUGGCUCGUCCAUCUCACCUGAGCCUCGUUCCCAGACAGCCAGGGACCUGGGUUUAAAUCUUAGCAGGUACAGCCUGCCAUGAUCUUUUGUCACUUACCCUUCCUUUCAGCAAUCAACCAGGAUAAGGGUUUUGGUCCCUAGAGAUUUCAGUUCUGAAGAAGAUUAAAUCUGAAUCAAUUUUACAUGCCCUUCCAGUCUACUUUAUGCCAUUCUCACCUUUUCGAAUGUAGUGGGGGACUGGCUGUGACAUUUAAAGAGAAUAAACGUUUUGCACAUACAUGUAUUGUACAACAGUAAAAUCCUGUUAUAACCAGCUGUCCUUGUUCUUCAUCUCCGUUUCUUCCCAUUCUGUAACCCAGGCUUCACCAGCUGUUCCCCAGUGACAUUACCUAGCUUCCCUCCACCAUCACCUACUGACUAUUUCCACUAUGCGCCUUUCCUACCUUCCCUUCACAACUGAUCAAGUGAAUACUUGAUUAUUAUUUCUUCCUUACUGUGCUUUAUUUUUGUUUGGUUCUAAUUAAUGAAAAUAAAAGUUUCUAAAUUUACAUUUUUAUAGGGUAUUGUAAAUAAAAACAAAUUGUAU
RNAcentral lists this long non-coding RNA (1724 nucleotides) under Marmota monax (woodchuck). Lineage: Eukaryota; Metazoa; Chordata; Mammalia; Rodentia; Sciuridae. The record is from RNAcentral.